GGAAGGGAAGGGAAGGGAAGGGAAGGAAAGGAAGAAAGGAAAGGAAAGGAAAGGAAAGGAAAGGAAAGGAAAGGAAAGGAAAGGAAAGGAAAGGAAUGAAAAGGAGGGGGCAGAGAGAAUGAGUUACCAGCCCGGCUCUUUCUUGGAUUGGAAGCAAACACUGAGUGUGCUGGGAGCAUGGCCAGUCCUACCCCAAAGGCCCAGCGAGUGGUUUCCUCUAAAGGGGUGCAGGGAGAUGGUGAGAGGUGCGGAGACAGAAGGAGAAGUUUUGUCAAGAUGGCCCAGCCCCACGGUGGGGGAUAUUGAAGGAAGAGCUCCCCACCACCCUCAAGAAGGUCGUGCCCCCAUUGGAAAUGUCUUGUCCCACGUGACUCCAGUCGACAGGACCAUGAGAAGACGACUCUGCAGCAGAGACUAGCUGUCCGAACAACGGGCCACAGAGAUGGUGCCACUGCCUUUCUCAGGCACGAGGUAGAGUCAGCAACCAGAGGGACCUGCUCGGACGAUGGGCCGGGAGGGGAGCCAUUGGGGGCUGCCUAGGUCACAGGGUCCCCCAGGGAAGCUAAGCUGCCUUGACGGUGAGCCUCCGAGGCCAGAAGAACAACUCUCAGCUCAGUCAGUGUGCCCUUGGCUCAGCAGGCAACUCAACUCAGCUCAACAGGACUCUGUGUUUGGUGAGUGUUUAAUGCGUCUCUUCUGAGCGCUGGAUUUGGGCCAUCCGCCAUGCUAAGCGCUGGGGGUGUAGGAGAAUGCAAACCAGACACCGUCCCUGGUACAGGCCCCUGGGAAGGGCCCAUGUGGGUCUGCGUUCCUACUAAGCCCAAUACCCACAGAGGGAAGUGGGAGGAGGCCGGGCCCUUCCCCCUGUGGUCUCAUUGGCAAGAAGAGACAAGAUGCACCAUGAAACACUCCGAGAACCAGGCCCCGUUUAAAUAGAUAAAUUCCUGGCUCUGCUCACCACACGUGGAAGUGAACAUGGCAGGUUCAGGCCGUGUGUGUCUGUAAGUGCUCUGGGUGGGCCCUACGAGGCAGCCCCCCUGGGGCUGAGGCACUUUCCAAGCUUCCUAGAAGAAUGGAAGAGGCUGACCAUGGGCCUUGAAACAGAUCACAUGACCAUGCCAGCCUGGGAAGUGUGGAUGGACUUGACCAUCUUUCCUGGGUCUUCUUUCCAUCGGCCAGCCCCUCUCGUUCUCCCUCUUCCAUUUCCCUCAGAGCUGGAAACCUUCCAUGGCAAAUGGGUGGGCGCCAGGUUUGGCUGCGUGCGUGCCGUUCACAAAGCUCCGUGCCGGCCGCAGUGGGAUUAUAAACAGCACAGGCCUUACCCUUAAGGACUUUGCAAACCAACUUGGGUUCACCAACUGCGGUAACGGAAGACAGUGGAAGCUGCUUGUAAUGCGCCUGAGUGGGAGGCGGGGACCACAGGAGACGCGACUCCAGUCCCCGGGUACAGGGUCCGGAAUAUGGACGCUGUGCUGUGUGCGCACGCGCCUGCACGCACUUCCUGUUGUUUGUUUUUAAAUCUCAAACUUCAGAGAAAUUAUAGGAAUAUGACAAGUAUUUCUGUAUGCCUUUUCUAAGAUUGACCAACUAUUUACAUUUUGUGGAAUCAUCUGAGAACAGGUUAGAGACAUUUUUGCGCCUUUGCCCUUAAAUACUUCAGUGUGUAUUUCAAGGACAUUGUUUGACAUCACGUGGUUCCCUCAUGGCUGAAACUUCCCCUUGUUUCCAGACCCCACUGGAUCACUCUAGACUCUAAAUAAAGCUUACUUAAUGGCAGAUAGCUAGCCUUUUUUUCUGCUUGAUGCCCUGCUGGUGAUCUGGCCGGUGGGGGGCUGCCUUGGUCACAGGGUCCCCCAGGGACACUCUAUUAGCCAUGGCUGAGUCGACCUGCACCCAGACAGCUGAUCUGCCCCCUUAGAGGCCUGGCCAGGCCUUGGCUGAACUGCUCUCUUCCCCUUCACUUUGUUUUUGAGCUUUCUGUGCCUUCUCCCACCCACAGAUACGAAUGUUGCAGGACACUGGCUUUCUAGUGUGCAGCACGGCCUGGCGGAAGUGGGGAAAGCUUGGUUGGGCACCCUCUCUGGGCCUUGGAUGCCAGUGUUGGCUCCUCUGAACAUAGAGGGAGGCUUCCUUUCCCUCAUUCGCGGGAGGAGGCUCUAUGGCUUGGUCUGGCUCUGAGGCCCCGGGCCCUGCUCAGGACUGGCAGUCUUAGGCCGAGGGAACAUUUUCCAGAGUACAGCUGAGGGACAGGACGUCUCCAUGAGAUGGGCUGGGAUGGGCAGGGCUCUGGAAAGGCUCCUGCUUGUUCUGGGAGGUGUUUCGGAUGUUGAGGUUUUGGAAAGCCAUGGUAGCUGUUCAUGACUGCUCCCAGCUUCAGGAGAAGGAAAGAACGGGUGUCCGUUUCUUGGGGUUCAGUGGCAAAGGUGAAUGCCCAGCACUGCCGAGCUGGGACCAGGCCCUCAGCUGUGCCUGGGGAGGGCACUGGGCUUUGAAGGGGAACACAGCCUAAAGGACUGGCCGCUGCAGUCAUGAGAAGCUGCUCGCAUCCAGUGAGACUUGGCUGGAGCGCUACAGGCCCUGGGCCUGGACACAAAACCAAUGUGAUCUCUGGACCUGCACUCAAGCGUGUCUCUGAUGGAGCGGGUUGGAGAAACCCCAGUGAACCCACGAAACAGAACAUGCUAGAGGCAUUUCAUGAGGCAGAUCAGUCCCACGCAAGGAGAGCCAGGGAAGGGAGAGAACAGAACGGGCCUGCACAGUCAAGAACCACUCUGCGGAGGCGGCGAAGCCUCCCUUUCCAGCUGCCUCUCCCUCUGUUCUGCUUUUGCACACAACCAGCCCAGGUCCAGCUCUGUUCUGUCAUCGUGGGCAAGUCAGUUUACUUCCUUGGGCCUGUUUCCUCCUCUGUGAAAUGGGAAGUGGGGCGCUUGCACCAUCUCCCUGAGGGCAGGCCCAGAGAGAAUCCAGUGUGGGUGGGCUUCAGAGGUGCUUGGAGACUUAGGAAAAGAAGCCCCCACCCGGACUUUGAGAUCCUGCUUCUGCAUAGGUAUUGUUUCCAGGUGGUCCCUGGAGCAGAAGCCAGGUGACUAUGGGGUCUUCACAUCCCCAGUCCCUGACUUCACCCCAGGCUCCACAACCCGAGACCCAGGUCUUUAUUCAUUGACUCAUUCUGCCUGUUGUCCGGGAAGGCCUCCUACAGGUGGGGGCACCCUGGCUUCCCACUCGCCCGCCAGCCACCGGCCCCUCCCACUCGGGAGAUGUGCCAUGCUCAGGGGGGGCCUGAAUGCACCCCUUCUCCUUCCCUAAGAACCAGCCUCAAUGCACCCAUUACCAUUUCCAUGGCGCUCUCCUCCAGGGCCCCAUGGAAAUCACGAGGCUUUCUGAGGACUUGUGCAGACUUCAGAAAAGACCCCGGGCCCCCUGCCCACCCCCGGGCUCUCUGGCCGGCUCUAAUCCCGCUCGCUCGGGGCGCAGAGACAGAGCUCCCUCUCUCCUCGCAGGCCUGGCCACUCACUCUCCCACAGAGCUGACGUUUCUCUGCGGCCCAGCUGGCUGCAGUUUUUAGAAAUAACAAUAUCCCCGGGGGGAGGAGCGGCGGGGUGAAUGGGCGCCUUUGUCCCGGGCCCUGUGAAGCCCGAUUAAUUAUGCGCUGCGGAGCGCGGGCAGCGCGGAGGCCCGGCCCCCAGCGGCUGAAAGGCCCGGGCUUGGGAGCGCGGCCCCGGCUCCGCGCCGCCGCACAAAGGGCCGAGAAUUAGAAAACCGCCAAUUACCCCGCAUUUUGUAUUUGCCCUUGUCUCGCUGACACUGUGGACGGCCCUCCCCGGGCGGCUGCACUUUGAGGGUUUUCAAGCCCUUUCUUGGUUACCAGGGGCGACUGGGCAGAGGGCUGGGGGCUUGGGGAGAGCGGGAGACUUGGGUGGGAUCAUAGGCGGCUGGGGGCGCCUGGGGGAAUGUCGCCCCUGGGGACAUGGCUCUCAACUCUAACGCUCUCUCCGAAGCUGGAGGCUGUGGAGAAUGCAGAUUCCCCGCCCCGCUCCAGAGGACUCCCUGACUCCGACGACGGUCUGGGGUGCCCCGCUGCAUUUUAACAGGCAGUCCAAAUGAUUUGAUUUUUUAAAAAAUUUAAAGUGGAACAGUGAAGUGCCCGGAUCGUACGUGUGCAGGUUUACGCGUUUUGACAAAUGUAUACCUCUGUGUAACCUACAUCCUAUAAAGCUAUAGUGCAAUUCUAUUAUUCUGGAAAUUUCCAUGGAUUCCCCACCCCCUCCUCCUGGGCCCCAAGGGACCACUGUUCUGACUUUUAUCAUCAUGUUAGGUUCCACCUGUUUGGAGACGGUGCUAAGUGGAGUCAUAUGGCAUUCACUUGUUUCUGACCUCUCACUCAGCCUAAAUGUUUUUGACAUCCACCCAUGUUACCUGUAUCAAUAGAUGGGUUUCUUUGUAUUUAUCUGUUCACCUGUUGAUGGAUACCUGGACUGCUUCUAGUUUGGGGUGGUUAUAAAUAAAGCUGCUAAUGAUCAUUUUGUACCAGUCAAGUCCCUUUUGUGGAUAUAUGUUUUAGGUCUUUGGGGUAAGUCUCUAGGGGUGGAAUUGCUGGGUCAUAGGGAAGGGAUUUAGCUUUAGGGGAUACUACCAAACGGCUUUCUAAAGUGGGUAUACAAUUUUGCAUCCCCACCGACAAAGUCUGAGAGUUCCAGCUGCUCUCCUUCCCAGUCAGCACUUGGUGUUGCCUUUUUCACCUGAGCCCUUCUGGGGAGUGUGCGGUGAUAGCUCAGGGUAGUUUUCAAGCCAGGGGAUUUUAAUUGCUGCUCUCCAAUGACCACACUUGGGGAAAACUCUGACCUAGUGCAAUUCUUGCCCUUGCCUGCAAGUUCCAGCAGGGUAAGUGACCUAUCCCAGGCGCAUCACUUGUUGGGCAGAGACUGGAUGAUUACACGGGACUCCUAACUACUAGAGUGCUCUCUCCUUGAGAUGGUGCUGGCCCCUUGGCUUACACCUACCGGGCCUGUGCACAUGUGCUUCUGUGUGUCAGUGUGUGUGUGUGUGUGAAGUGUGGGUCUUGCUCUGCCCAGGACCAUUCAGAAUGGAUCUGGAAGGGCAUUUUUUUCUUUUCUCUUUCUUUUUUUUUAGGUUUAUUUAUUUUUUAGUAACCUCUACACCCAGUGUGGGCCUCGAACUCACAAGCCAGAGAUCAAGAGUCCCAUGCUCCUCUGACUGAGCCAGCCAGACGCCCCCAGAAGGGGAUUUCUGAAGAGUCUCUGUCUGCUACCCAAGCAGCAGCAUCCAUGGGACUCUGGAGCCAAGAGAUUGGGCUUGGCCAGGAAUCCAGCCACAAUGCUAUAUAAGAAGCCCACACCAGCCCGCCCGGAGAGACCAGUGGGAAAACCACGUGGAGAGGCACUGAGGACCCAACCUGCAGUCAGCACCAGCCACCAGAUUGCGAGUGAAUGAGCCUUCAGUGAUUCCAAAGCCCAGCCAUGGAUACUUCCAGCUGAGGCCCCAGAUGACACAGAGCAGAGACAAGCUUUUCCUGCUGUGCCCAGUCCGGAUGCCUGACCCGGAGACUCUGCAAACAUAAGUGGUUGUUUGAUGUGUAGCCACAAUAACUGGAAAGCAGGCAGUCCUGGUAUUCCUUGUAGCCUCUCAAUCUUAUUUCAUAAUCCCCUUGCCCUGCUCAAUUUACCUCUUCUCUUUCAGCGGCAGCUUGGAUGGCACCUGGUCUAGGAGCCCCCCCGGCCUCCCUCUGAGCUGCACUGGGAUCUCCCCCGUGGCACCCCAAGUACCUGGUCGUCUUUGCCUUCUCUGCGCUGUCCUAUGACUUCAUGUCUGGGUGUUUGCAUCCCCCAUAAAUGGCUUCCUGAGAGCUGGAACAGCAUAUGUUUCCUCUCUGGACUUCCAAGAGCCUUGCACCGAAGUGUCUGCUGAAAGAUGGCAUGUCCCUGAAAUGGAGGGAAUGGGGCCUAAAUUAAGGAGAUCACUCCUCGGCUUCCCACUCCCUGCCCUCAUUUCUUCAGGGCCAGGCCUCGAACAAGAGAGAAAAAAAGACAAAAGAUGGUCCUUUCCUUCCAGAGGAUUUCAGUUUAAUGAGGGAGAGAGUAAUAGAAAGACUGGAAGAGACUAGUGUAUCACUAAAUGAGAUCCACAGUCCCCAGAAUGGGGAGAGACCUGCAUAGAAUGGGGUGGUCAGGGCAGGCUUCCUGGAGGGGGCAAGGACUUGGAUGUAAGAGCAGAGCUCUGAAACAAGUCGGGGCACCAGCUGAAGUGGAGUGUGUGUGUGUGUGUGUGUGUGUGUGUGUGUACAUGCGUGCACACAUACAUUGACACAUCUCUCUCCGGGGCUAGUGUCUUGAGGGCAAGCCCGGUCCUAACCAUCUCCUGUUUGCUCCUCUGUCCUCCACCUCGCCGGAGGAAUGGUAUUCAAGUCAAACAGGGUGGGGGCUGGCCGCUAGACGCACACCUGACGAUACACGCGGACCUUAGAAGCGUAGUGCUGACUGAGAAAGCAAGAAACAGAAUAAAAUCUCUGGCACCACGUCGUUUAUGUGAACUAAAAAUACACAGAGCCCGCUGGGGAUGCCGAGUCACUUGCUGGGAGAGCUGUGGAGGUGGCGGUGGGGGGAGCCGAGCCGGAGCAGCGGCCAGUCCAGCCAUAGAAGCAGCAGGAUUUGCAAGCUCUUCUGUUUCGCAAGCCAUGGAGCAUGUGGAGCCCUUAGUAAAAGACAUUUCUCAAAAUCUACCAAAAUCUGCUGUCAGCGGUGGCUCCUACAGAGGUGGGUUUGAACCCCAAAUUGCAAAAUGGGAAGCAGCAUUAAUCCUAGGCAUAAGCAGCAUUAAGACUGAACAUAAGCAAUAAAGGAAAAAGGAGAUGCUCGUUGACAAAUGAUGCUUUUAAAUCACCCAGACAAGGGAGGAUCUCUUUAGCUAGCAGCCCCAAUCAAUAAAGCUAAAGAUUGACUAGAGGGUCAAGCUGAAAAGUAAAGUAAAUGCAUGAUGAAUUUUAAGUACUUACUAGUUUAUGGCUAGGAGUACCAGCCUUUUAUAAGAAAGUGUGUCAAAGCUAAAAACAACAACAAUAACCCUAAACCAAAAAUGCACGUACAUGGAACGGCAAUGUAUGCUUUAGAGGGACACAUACAAGCACAUUAAUGUGGUUGCCUUAAGGGGUGGGGUGCACGGGGGUAGUGAGCGAUGAUCAGAGGGAUAAAAUAAAACAAGAAAGGGUCUUUGUGCAGAAGGAACAGCGAUGAGACUGUGCCUUUGAGAGAAUGAUUGGCUCAACUUGUGCACCUGAGGUCCGGACAGAAAGAAAAGGCAAAGCCAAAAUCACUCUUAGAAAUGAUAUUCCCAACUUUAGGACGGCACUCAUAGCUGCGCGGGCAGGAGGGAGCAAGGAUAUGGGCAGGGAUUUAGCUGUAGCUGUAAUGUGUUAGUUCUUUAAAAAAGAUAAGGAAAUCUGAAGCAAAAUGGCAAGCUGUUAACACCUGUUGAACCUGGGGAGGGGCUAUGUGGGCUUCUGUUUGAUUAUUAUUAUUAUUAUUAUUUUAAGUAAGCGCCACUUAAGGUAGGGCUUGAACCCAUGACCCCAAGAUCAAGAGUCCUAUGCUCUACGACUGAGC
Ailuropoda melanoleuca (giant panda) is the source of this 7616-nucleotide long non-coding RNA. RefSeq lists it as uncharacterized. The transcript is spliced from 3 exons. Lineage: Eukaryota; Metazoa; Chordata; Mammalia; Carnivora; Ursidae. The record is from RefSeq and is a predicted model, not a curated record.